AGAGUUUGAUCAUGGCUCAGAACGAACGCUGGCGGCACGCUUAAUACAUGCAAGUCGAACGAGAAAGUCAUUUCGGUGGCGAGUACAGUGGCGCACGGGUGAGUAACACGUGGGUGACCUACCUUAUAGUGUGGGAUAACAAGGAGAAGUUCUUGCUAAUACCGCAUAAGCUGGAUAAAUUUGGAAGUAAUCCAGGAAAGAUUGCCUAGUCUAUGCAAUCGCUAUGAGUGGGGCCUGCGCACCAUUAGCUAGUUGGUAGGGUAACGGCUUACCAAAGCGAUGAUGGUUAACCGGUCUGAGAGGAUGAUCGGUCACACUGGAACUGAGACACGGUCCAGACUCCUACGGGAGGCAGCAGUAGGGAAUAUUGCGCGAUGGGCGAAAGCCUGACGCAGCGAUGCCGCGUGAGUGAGGAAGGCCUUCGGGUUGUAAAGCUCUGUUCUAGGGGAAAAACGGCAUAAGUGUUAAUAGCACUUGUGAUUGAUGGUACCCUAGGAGAAAGCACCGGCUAACUUCGUGCCGGCAGCCGCGGUAAUACGAAGGGUGCAAGCGUUGUUCGGAUUUAUUGGGCGUAAAGGGCGUGUAGGCGGAAAGAUAAGUCAGAUGUGAAAUUUCGGAGCUCAACUCCGACCCUGCGUCUGAAACUGUCUAUCUUGAAUCCCGGAGAGGAAAGGGGAAUUUCGCAUGUAGGAGUAAAAUCCGUAGAGAUGCGAAGGAACACCAGAGGCGAAGGCGCCUUUCUGGCCGGGUAUUGACGCUGAGGCGCGAAAGCGUGGGGAGCAAACAGGAUUAGAUACCCUGGUAGUCCACGCCGUAAACGAUGAGCACUAGUUAUAGGGCAGAUUACUGUUCUGUGACGUAGCUAACGCAUUAAGUGCUCCGCCUGGGGAGUACGGUCGCAAGAUUAAAACUCAAAGGAAUUGACGGGGGCCCGCACAAGCGGUGGAUCAUGUGGUUCAAUUCGAAGAUACGCGAAGAACCUUACCUGGGUUUGAAAUCCCGAGAAGACCUUAGAGAUGAGGUUGUGCCCUUCGGGGAACUCGGAGACAGGUGCUGCAUGGCCGUCGUCAGCUCGUGUUGUGAAAUGUUGGGUUAAGUCUCGCAACGAGCGUAACCCUUGUCUUUAGUUGCCAGCAUUAAGUUGGGCACUCUAAAGAGACCGCCGGGGUUAACCCGGAGGAAGGUAGGGAUGACGUCAGGUCCUCAUGGCCCUUAUACCCAGGGCUACACACGUGAUACAAUGGACAAUACAGAGGGAAGCGAAGCUGCAAAGCGGAGCAAAUCUCAAAAAGUUGUUCUCAGUCCGGAUUGGAGUCUGCAACUCGACUCCAUGAAGCUGGAAUCGCUAGUAAUCGUGGAUCAGCAUGCCACGGUGAAUACGUUCCCGGGCCUUGUACACACCGCCCGUCACACCAUGGGAGUUGACCCAACCUGAAGUCGUGGCCCUAACCAUUUCGGUGGAAGGGAGCGCCCACGGUGGGGUUGAUGACUGGGGUGAAGUCGUAACAAGGUA
RNAcentral lists this ribosomal RNA (1513 nucleotides) under metagenome. RNAcentral describes it as "bacterial SSU rRNA". It matches the Rfam family "Bacterial small subunit ribosomal RNA". The record is from RNAcentral.